RNAcentral lists this ribosomal RNA (468 nucleotides) under uncultured bacterium. Its description in RNAcentral is "partial 16S ribosomal RNA". It matches the Rfam family "Bacterial small subunit ribosomal RNA", at positions 28 to 507 of the family's 1533-position model. The record is from RNAcentral.
GACGAACGCUGGCGGCGUGCUUAACACAUGCAAGUCGAACGGAAAGGCCCUGCUUUUGUGGGGUGCUCGAGUGGCGAACGGGGGAGUAACACGUGAGUAACCUGCCCUUGACUUUGGGAUAACUUCAGGAAACUGGGGCUAAUACCGGAUAGGAUCUCCUGCUGCAUGGUGGGGGUUGGAAAGUUUCGGCGGUUGGGGAUGGACUCGCGGCUUAUCAGCUUGUUGGUGGGGUAGUGGCUUACCAAGGCUUUGACGGGUAGCCGGCCUGAGAGGGUGACCGGCCACAUUGGGACUGAGAUACGGCCCAGACUCCUACGGGAGGCAGCAGUGGGGAAUAUGGCACAAUGGGCGGAAGCCUGAUGCAGCAACGCCGCGUGCGGGAUGACGGCCUUCGGGUUGUAAACCGCUUUCGCCUGUGACGAAGCGUGAGUGACGGUAAUGGGUAAAGAAGCACCGGCUAACUACGUG